Molecule: ribosomal RNA, 511 nt
Filed under: uncultured bacterium
Lineage: Bacteria
Description: bacterial SSU rRNA
Rfam family: Bacterial small subunit ribosomal RNA
Source: RNAcentral
GAUGAACGCUAGCGGGAGGCUUAACACAUGCAAGUCGAGGGGCAGCACGAUCCCGAGUAAUCGGGAUUGGUGGCGACCGGCGCACGGGUGAGUAACACGUAUGCAACCUACCCUGUACAGGGGGAUAACCCGGAGAAAUUCGGACUAAUAUCCCAUAAUGAUAUUUGAGGGCAUCCUUGGAUAUUUAAAGCUCAGGCGGUACGGGAUGGGCAUGCGGAACAUUAGCUAGUUGGGAGGGUAACGGCCUACCAAGGCAACGAUGUUUAGGGACCUGAGAGGGUGAUCCCCCAACUGGUACUGAGACACGGACCAGACUCCUACGGGAGCAGCAGUGAGGAAUAUUGGUCAAUGGGCGCAAGCCUGAACCCAGCCAUCCCGCGUGCAGGAAGACGGCCCUAUGGGUUGUAAACUGCUUUUCCAGGGAGAGAAACUUACGCACGUGUUGCGUGACUGACGGUACCCUGGGAAUAAGCAUCGGCUAACUCCGUGCCAGCAGCCGACGGUAAAACGU